ACCCGUUGAUCCUGCGGGAGGUUGCUGCUAUUGGAGUUCGACUAAGCCAUGCAAGUCAGAGGGAUUCUUCGGAAUCACAGGCAGAAUGCUCAGUAACACGUCGAUAAUCUAACCUUAGAUCAGGCAUAACCCCGGGAAACUGAGGCUAAAACCUGAUAGGGGAUUUUAAUUGGAAAAUAAUAUCCCUUAAAAGCAAUGUCUAAGGAUGAGUCGGCGGUGGAUUAGGUUGUUGGCGGGGUAAAGGCCCACCAAGCCGAUGAUCCAUACGGGCCGUGAAAGCGGUAGCCCGGAGAGGGACACUGAGAUACUGGUCCCAGCCCUACGGGGUGCAGCAGGCGCGAAACCUUUACAAUGCACGCAAGUGUGAUAAGGGAACUCCAGGUGCUCAUGCUUUGCGUGGGCUUUUUUUCGAGAGUAAAUAUCUCGGAGAAUAAGUGGUGGGUAAGACGGGUGCCAGCCGCCGCGGUAACACCUGCGCCACGAGUGGGAACCACGAUUAUUUGGCCUAAAGCGUCCGUAGCCGGUUUUGUAAAUCUUUUGUGAAAUCGACAAGCUUAACUUGUCGACGUGCAGAAGACACUGCAGGACUUGGAACCAGGAGGAGUUAGAAGAAUGUCAGGGGGAGCGGUAAAAUGUUAUAAUCCCUGAUAGACUACCUGUGGCGAAGGCGUCUAACUAGAAUGGAUUCGACGGUGAGGGACGAAAGCUAGGGGAGCGAUCCGGAUUAGAUACCCGAGUAGUCCUAGCUGUAAACGCUGCGAGCUAGGUGUUGCACAUCCCACGAGAAUGUGCAGUGUCGAAGCGAAGGUGUUAAGCUCGCCGCCUGGGAAGUAUGGUCGCAAGACUGAAACUUAAAGGAAUUGGCGGGGGAGCACCACAAGGGGUGCGGCGUGCGGUUUAAUCUAACUCAACGCAGAAAAUCUCACCAGCGGCGACGGCAGGAUGAAAGUCAGGCUGAAGACCUUACUUGACGAGCCGAGAGGUAGUGCAUGGCCGCCGUCAGCUCGUGCCGUAAGGUGUCCUGUUAAGUCAGGCAACGAGCGAGACCUGUGCCUACAAUUGCUAACGGGUUCUUUUGGACGACUGAGCACAUUGUAGGAACUGCCCGGGAAACCGGGAGGAAGGUGCAGGCUACGGUAGGUCUGUAUGCUCCGAAUCUGCUGGGCUACACGCGCGCAACAAUGGUUGAGACGAUGGGAUACGACUCCGAAAGGAGAAGUUAAUCCUCGAAACUCAAUCCAAGUUCAGAUUGAGGGUUGCAACUCACCCUCAUGACAAUGGAAUCCCUAGUAAUCGGGUCUCAUUACAGCCCGGUGAAUAUGUCCCUGCUCCUUGCACACACCGCCCGUCAAACCACCCGAGUAGGGUCUAGGUGAGGCUAAGUUUUGAAUUUAGUCGAAUCUAAGCUCAGCGAGGAGGGUUAAGUCGUCACAAGGUA
This 1438-nucleotide ribosomal RNA is filed under the name metagenome. Its description in RNAcentral is "bacterial SSU rRNA". It matches the Rfam family "Archaeal small subunit ribosomal RNA". The record is from RNAcentral.